GAUGCUAGGGUCAAAAACUCAAAAGCCGGUCGUGCUUGCACGGCAAGGGUUUUGAGCUUGGGACCCGCCAAACAUGAGAAAUUGCGAUUUACGUAGUAAAUCAGCGAAUUUCGAAUGUUUGUAGAAUUGCGUGAGUUGCUCUGCAACGGAGCAAUUCGUAAGCA
This 164-nucleotide small RNA is filed under the name human gut metagenome. RNAcentral's name for it is "Clostridiales-1 RNA". It matches the Rfam family "Clostridiales-1 RNA". The record is from RNAcentral.